Molecule: long non-coding RNA, 418 nt
Filed under: Helianthus annuus (common sunflower)
Lineage: Eukaryota; Viridiplantae; Streptophyta; Magnoliopsida; Asterales; Asteraceae
Description: sRNA HanXRQr2_Chr17g0826741
Source: RNAcentral
UCGGUUGAAGCUCGUCUUGGUUUGGUUUUUCUGAAUUUAUUUUGGCCGUGAGUGGUCGAAUUAGUUUGAAGAUUAAAAAUUAGGGCUUGCAAUUAUGUAGAUUUUUUAUAUGUGGUGUCGAGCAGCAUUCUGAAUCUUUCCAGUAUUAUGAUCUUGGGCUUCACAUGUAUAAGAUUUAAGAUGUAGAUAUAUAUGAAUCUUUAUGUAUUUCCUAUAUAUAAAACUGCGAUUAUUGUUGUAGUGUGAUUUUGGAUGUUCAACUUUUCUCUAGUCAACUUGUUGUCUGAUGAAAUGCCUCUUAAUUAAUGGUUUAUUAGUUUGGAUGUUAACGCCUGUAAUACCUGUGCAAAGCGUUGCAGCUGCUCGAACUUCAAAACUGCUUUAAGACCACCCGUAGUGGAGUUUUUUUUUGGUGUUU